GAAGCAAGCCAGACCGCCGCUGGUGCAAUCUCCGAAAGGAGGCACUGGAGGAAGGUCCGGACUGCACAGGGCGGCGUAGCAGCUAACGGCUGUCCACCGUGAGGUGAGGAUCAGAGCAACAGAGACGAGUCGGCGUGUUUUCGCAAGAAAGCACGCAGGGUGAAACGGGCAAUCUCUACGCGCAGCAACACCAAAUAGGCCAGCGUUGAUGUG
RNAcentral lists this RNase P RNA (213 nucleotides) under Rhizobacter sp. RNAcentral's name for it is "partial RNase P RNA component class A". It matches the Rfam family "Bacterial RNase P class A", at positions 1 to 250 of the family's 367-position model. From Rfam's summary of the family: Ribonuclease P (RNase P) is a ubiquitous endoribonuclease, found in archaea, bacteria and eukarya as well as chloroplasts and mitochondria. Its best characterised activity is the generation of mature 5'-ends of tRNAs by cleaving the 5'-leader elements of precursor-tRNAs. The record is from RNAcentral. Lineage: Bacteria; Pseudomonadati; Pseudomonadota; Betaproteobacteria; Burkholderiales; Sphaerotilaceae.